GAGUUUUCUCUGAGUAAUCUCACUUCAAAGUUCGUCUUUUCAUAAUUCUGAACUGAAACGGUUAAAGAAAAUGUUUCAGAGAUUGUUGUUCUAUUUGUUUAUGUGGCAUCUGAUCGAUGUGUUUGAAGUGAAGUCCGUGUCAGUGAUGGAGGGAGAUUCUGUUACUCUAAACACUGAUAUUAUUGGCAGCGGCCUUCUGGUAUAUUGGAGGUCAGGAACACUAUGGCUAAAUUUGAUACCGCAACCAAAGAGAUCUUAAUACAUGAUGAUGUUCAUGAUGGGAUGUUCAGAGACAGACUGCAGGUGAAUGAUCAGACAGGAUCUCUCACCAUCACAAACACCAAAACUGAAGACUCUGGACUUUACCGGUUAACCGUCUACAGGGAGAGUUUCAUCUCACAUGAUUUCAAUUUUAAUGUAUAUGCUCGUCUGCCCGUUCCUGUCAUCUCUACAAACUCUUCUCAAUGUUCUUCAUCAUCAGAAAGAUCUUCAGUGUCAAAAUGUGUGUUGUUGUGUUCAGUGAUGAAUGUUACACGUGUGAGUCUCUCCUGGUACAAAGGAA
This is a long non-coding RNA of Triplophysa dalaica, 562 nucleotides long. RefSeq lists it as uncharacterized. The record is from RefSeq and is a predicted model, not a curated record. NCBI's taxonomy places the organism in Eukaryota, Metazoa, Chordata, Actinopteri, Cypriniformes, Nemacheilidae. The transcript is spliced from 3 exons.